GCAGCAGAGAAAUCACCGUUCCCCAGGCCUUGCCGGGACUACGAGGCAGCAGAGAGCAUUGUGGCAGGACGGUUUUUCCUUCUGAAGGGUGGUUAAUGAGCAAUGUAGGUGAAGACCCCUGAGAGAUACCUGGGCAUCCUGCCCACCCAAAUAGAAGACCGCGUUGAGAUGGCAGUCGGAGAUGGAGCCCAUGACCAGAGAGAGGGACAGAGGAGAGGAGCGCGGGGACAGUGCCGGACACAAAGUAAAAGCGCUGCCAGUUCAUUUAGGAAGGAAAAUGAGAGAGAGAAAGAAAGCAUAAUCAAAAGCCUACAUGACAAAGAGUUGACAGUCAGAUUCUGUGGUAAAUGAUUCCAGAGUCGCUGGCCUGCGGAGACGCUGAGGAAGUCCCCAGCAGACCUGAUUAAUUCCAGUCUCUCCAGCUGCCAGGGGAGCAGAGGGAAGUCACUAAGGAGCAGCCCUGUCACAACAGCCUCCAAAGGACAGAGAGUGAACCACAGAGGAAAUUCGAAUGCAUGUACAGUGGGUUCCAUUACCAGGGAGCCUGAGCUUGGGACAAGAGGAGCUCAUCACCACCAGAAAAUACUACCAACAUGCCCAAGAGUUUGUUUCCCAUACUUUUAAAGAAAAAGAAAAAUGGAUGGUUCUGAAAUCACCUGGGUUUGUUUUAUUACAUUAUAUCUUCUGGCAAGAUCAGUGAUGGCAGAUGUGAUUCAGCAAUAGAAGCAUGGCUGUACUGGAGGGGACUGACAAGAACGUUUGCAGUCGGUAGUGUUCCUCAGUACUCAUCAAUUUGUGAGCCACAAGAAAUUCUAGCUCUGGAGGCGGAUGGUGGGAGUGAAGCGGACCAGCCGGCCAUUCCCUGUUGCCUACCUGUGGUGGCUCUGCCCAGUCAUCGGUGUCCACUGUUCAGCAUGCAUUCUUUAUGGACAAUCUUAUUCAAGAAAAUAGUUGCAAAAGAGCAAGACAAAAUUCAAAUGAUGUACACUUGAACACUUGCCUACAGAGGUGACAGUUGCCCCAAAAAGUUUGCUGUAAAGUUUGGAGGAGGAAGACACUUCCUGUCUUGAAAUAUAAAUAUGAGUAUCAAAAA
This 1093-nucleotide long non-coding RNA is filed under the name Homo sapiens (human). Its description in RNAcentral is "HSALNT0304576". The record is from RNAcentral. Lineage: Eukaryota; Metazoa; Chordata; Mammalia; Primates; Hominidae.